AUGGCGGAGGCGCGCCGCAGCCACCCGUCGCAGUACGUGAAGCUGACCAAGGACCAGGACGCUUCCGCCUCCGGCCCCGGCGUGGAGGACAUCCGCCCUGGCGAGCUCAACCUGCCCGUCGCCGUCCCGCAGCUGGAGCGGAUGAAGUGCAUCCAGUGUGGGCAGGUGCUGCCUGAGGGCCACAAGGCGCCGGCCGACGAGCAGUGGACCACCGGCAUCUUCAGUUGCGCUGAAGACCCCGAGAGCUGCUGGACUGGACUAUUCUGCCCCUGUGUGUUGUUUGGACGAAAUGUUCAGGCCCUUAGAGAAGAUAUCCCACGGACAAGACCCUGCACUUGCCAUGCUGUCUGUAUUGAAGGUGGCAUUGCAUUAGCAAUCCUUACGGCUAUAUUCCAUGGUGUUGACCCAGACACAUUGAUCCUGAUUGGUGAAGGCCUGGUCUGCAGUUGGUGGAUAUGCUCUCAAUAUACUAGUAUUAUUCGUGAAAAGCUUCAGAAGAAGUAUCAUCUCGAGCGCCAAACCCAUAUCCAGGAAGAAGGCUCGGUUGAAUAA
RNAcentral lists this ribosomal RNA (552 nucleotides) under Triticum aestivum (bread wheat). RNAcentral's name for it is "partial small subunit ribosomal RNA". The record is from RNAcentral. Lineage: Eukaryota; Viridiplantae; Streptophyta; Magnoliopsida; Poales; Poaceae.